Molecule: ribosomal RNA, 492 nt
Filed under: uncultured bacterium
Lineage: Bacteria
Description: bacterial SSU rRNA
Rfam family: Bacterial small subunit ribosomal RNA
Source: RNAcentral
GACGAACGCUGGCGGCGUGGAUUAGGCAUGCAAGUCGAACGGUAGGAUACCUUCGGGUAUCUGAGAGUGGCGAACGGGUGAGUAACACGUAGGUGAUCUACCCUCAAGAUUGGGACAACCCAGGGAAACUUGGGCUAAUACCGGAUGAAAGCAGCAGUGAUGUUGUUUGAAAGGUGGCGUAAGCUGCCGUUUGGGGAUGAGCCUGCGCUCUAUUAGUUAGUUGGCGGGGUAAAGGCCCACCAAGGCGAUGAUAGAUAGGCGGCCUUAACGGGUGGUCGCCCACACUGGGAUUGAGAUACGGCCCAGACUCCUACGGGAGGCAGCAGUCGAGAAUAGUCUACAAUGGCCGAAAGGCUGAUAGUGCGACGCCGCGUGAACGAAGAAGCCCUUCGGGGUGUAAAGUUCUUUUAUAUGUGAGCAGUGCUUUCUAUGUGAACAGCAUGGGGAGAGAGAUAUUAGCAUAUGAAUAAGCAACGGCUAACUCGUGCCAGC